This 468-nucleotide ribosomal RNA is filed under the name uncultured bacterium. Its description in RNAcentral is "partial 16S ribosomal RNA". It matches the Rfam family "Bacterial small subunit ribosomal RNA", at positions 28 to 507 of the family's 1533-position model. The record is from RNAcentral.
GACGAACGCUGGCGGCGUGCUUAACACAUGCAAGUCGAACGGAAAGGCGCGGCUUUUGUGGGGUGCUCGAGUGGCGAACGGGGGAGUAACACGUGAGUAACCUGCCCUUGACAUUGGGGUAACUUCAGGAAAAUGGGGCGAAUACCGGAUAGGAGCUCCUGCUGCGUGGUGGGGGUUGGAAAGAGUCGGCGGUUGGGGAUGGACUCGCGGCUUAUCAGCUUGUUGGUGGGGUAGUGGCUGACCAGGGCUUUGACGGGUAGCCGGCCUGGGAGGGUGACCGGGCACAUGGGGCCUGAGAUACGCCCCAGACUCCUACGGGAGGCAGCAGUGGGGAGUAUUGCACAACAGGCGGAAGCCUGAUGCAGCAACGCCGCGUGCGGGAUGACGGCUUUCGAGUUGUAAACCGCUUUCGCCUGUGACGAAGCGUGAUUGACGGUAAUGGGUCAAGAAGCACCGGCUAACUACGUG